This 474-nucleotide ribosomal RNA is filed under the name Bacillus atrophaeus. RNAcentral describes it as "bacterial SSU rRNA". It matches the Rfam family "Bacterial small subunit ribosomal RNA", at positions 332 to 796 of the family's 1533-position model. The record is from RNAcentral. Lineage: Bacteria; Bacillati; Bacillota; Bacilli; Caryophanales; Bacillaceae.
CCUACUCCUACGGGAGGCAGCAGUAGGGAAUCUUCCGCAAUGGACGAAAGUCUGACGGAGCAACGCCGCGUGAGUGAUGAAGGUUUUCGGAUCGUAAAGCUCUGUUGUUAGGGAAGAACAAGUGCCGUUCAAAUAGGGCGGCACCUUGACGGUACCUAACCAGAAAGCCACGGCUAACUACGUGCCAGCAGCCGCGGUAAUACGUAGGUGGCAAGCGUUGUCCGGAAUUAUUGGGCGUAAAGGGCUCGCAGGCGGUUUCUUAAGUCUGAUGUGAAAGCCCCCGGCUCAACCGGGGAGGGUCAUUGGAAACUGGGGAACUUGAGUGCAGAAGAGGAGAGUGGAAUUCCACGUGUAGCGGUGAAAUGCGUAGAGAUGUGGAGGAACACCAGUGGCGAAGGCGACUCUCUGGUCUGUAACUGACGCUGAGGAGCGAAAGCGUGGGGAGCGAACAGGAUUAGAUACCGGGGGUAGUCC